RNAcentral lists this long non-coding RNA (1536 nucleotides) under Pan troglodytes (chimpanzee). RNAcentral describes it as "lincRNA". The stretch from base 1 to 178 matches the Rfam family "Pvt1 oncogene conserved region 1". The record is from RNAcentral. Lineage: Eukaryota; Metazoa; Chordata; Mammalia; Primates; Hominidae.
CCGAGCACAUGGGCCCGCGGGCCGGGCGGGCUCGGGGCGGCCGGGACGAGGAGGGGCGACGAGGAGCUGCGAGCAAAGAUGUGCCCCGGGACCCCCGGCACCUUCCAGUGGAUUUCCUUGCGGAAAGGAUGUUGGCGGUCCCUGUGACCUGUGGAGACACGGCCAGAUCUGCCCUCCAGCCUGAUCUUUUGGCCAGAAGGAGAUUAAAAAGAUGCCCCGCAAGAUGGCUGUGCCUGUCAACUGCAUGGAGCUUCGUUCAAGUAUUUUCUGAGCCUGAUGGAUUUACAGUGAUCUUCAGUGGUCUGGGGAAUAACGCUGGUGGAACCAUGCACUGGAAUGACACACGCCCGGCACAUUUCAGGAUACUAAAAGUGGUUUUAAGGGAGGCUGUGGCUGAAUGCCUCAUGGAUUCUUACAGCUUGGAUGUCCAUGGGGGACGAAGGACUGCAGCUGGCUGAGAGGGUUGAGAUCUCUGUUUACUUAGAUCUCUGCCAACUUCCUUUGGGUCUCCCUAUGGAAUGUAAGACCCCGACUCUUCCUGGUGAAGCAUCUGAUGCACGUUCCAUCCGGCGCUCAGCUGGGCUUGAGCUGACCACACUCCCUGGAGCCUUCUCCCGAGGUGCGCGGGUGACCUUGGCACAUACAGCCAUCGUGAUGGUACUUUAAGUGGAGGCUGAAUCAUCUCCCCUUUGAGCUGCUUGGCACGUGGCUCCCUUGGUGUUCCCCUUUUACUGCCAGGACACUGAGAUUUGGAGAGGUAAGUGGCUUACCUGAGGCCAUGUGCUAACAGAGAAGAUGAAGAGAUGAUUGAAACAGGCCUAAGACCAGACCUAAGGGUCUGUACAUUUUCCACAUACUUUCCAUAUCUUUAGAGGCCUGACCAAAGCAGAUCUUUUCCUUUCUUCUAGGUAAGUCCAAAGGUACCUGCCUGCUGGGCCCACUGUUUUCUAACUUUCCUAACUUUCUGAUCCCUUGGAGGUGAUGAUCAAAUAUUCUAGUCUGAGGCAUUGGGAUACAUGGUGCUAGGUUCUGAGACUCUGCGUCAGGCCUGAACCCUGCAUUUUGUGGAGGUGGGUGGGAGAAUGUUCCCCCAGGGAACAUGCCUAGACACGGGGGACAACAGUUGCCCUCAUGGGGAGGUAUCUGUUUACUCGCUGUUGUGGGACCGCUUUCACAAAACCACUGCAGGUGAGUGAGUUCCUGCUGAAUAUCAGGCCUGGUGUCUCUAGACUCAUUAUUUCCCCCACCCAACCCCUAUGUUAGUUCAUCUCUAGCCACAUUUUUAUUGCCAUCAUCCAGGCCUGGACAGGCCAAGAUCUUUUAACAAUUUUAAUUACUGAAAAUAAUAACUGCAUUUUUUUUUAAAGCCCAACUUUUGGUAGAGUCAGCCCAAAAUACAGUCUUUGUGUUGCCAUCUGGGAACUGGAUUUGGAAUUGUUCUUCCAUGAGACUGCAGAGCAGAACGGCAGGGCCAGAGGUCCCACGAGCUGGUCAGACCCGGUUCUGCUCCUUGCUGGCUGAGUGACCUUGGGCAUU